RNAcentral lists this ribosomal RNA (465 nucleotides) under Vreelandella stevensii. Its description in RNAcentral is "partial 16S ribosomal RNA". It matches the Rfam family "Bacterial small subunit ribosomal RNA", at positions 338 to 795 of the family's 1533-position model. The record is from RNAcentral. Lineage: Bacteria; Pseudomonadati; Pseudomonadota; Gammaproteobacteria; Oceanospirillales; Halomonadaceae.
CCUACGGGGGGCAGCAGUGGGGAAUAUUGGACAAUGGGGGCAACCCUGAUCCAGUCAUGCCGCGUGUGUGAAGAAGGCCCUCGGGUUGUAAAGCACUUUCAGUGAGGAAGAACGCCUGGUGGUUAAUACCCAUCAGGAAAGACAUCACUCACAGAAGAAGCACCGGCUAACUCCGUGCCAGCAGCCGCGGUAAUACGGAGGGUGCGAGCGUUAAUCGGAAUUACUGGGCGUAAAGCGCGCGUAGGUGGCUUGAUAAGCCGGUUGUGAAAGCCCCGGGCUCAACCUGGGAACGGCAUCCGGAACUGUCAAGCUAGAGUGCAGGAGAGGAAGGUAGAAUUCCCGGUGUAGCGGUGAAAUGCGUAGAGAUCGGGAGGAAUACCAGUGGCGAAGGCGGCCUUCUGGACUGACACUGACACUGAGGUGCGAAAGCGUGGGUAGCAAACAGGAUUAGAUACCCUAGUAGUC